AAGUCCCGUAACGAGCGCAACCCUUGUCAUUAGUUGCUACGAAAGGGCACUCUAAUGAGACUGCCGGUGACAAACCGGAGGAAGGUGGGGAUGACGUCAAGUCCUCAUGGCCCUUAUGGGUAGGGCUUCACACGUCAUACAAUGGUGCAUACAGAGGGCCGCCAACCCGCGAGGGGGAGCUAAUCCCAGAAAGUGCAUCGUAGUCCGGAUCGCAGUCUGCAACCCGACUGCGUGAAGUUGGAAUCGCUAGUAAUCGCGGAUCAGCAUGUUGCGGUGAAUACGUUCUCGGGCCUUGUACACACCGCCCGU
RNAcentral lists this ribosomal RNA (309 nucleotides) under uncultured soil bacterium. RNAcentral's name for it is "bacterial SSU rRNA". It matches the Rfam family "Bacterial small subunit ribosomal RNA", at positions 1082 to 1397 of the family's 1533-position model. The record is from RNAcentral.